GAUGAACGCUGGCGGCGUGCCUAAUACAUGCAAGUCGAGCGAACAGACGAGGAGCUUGCUCCUCUGACGUUAGCGGCGGACGGGUGAGUAACACGUGGAUAACCUACCUAUAAGACUGGGAUAACUUCGGGAAACCGGAGCUAAUACCGGAUAAUAUAUUGAACCGCAUGGUUCAAUAGUGAAAGACGGUUUUGCUGUCACUUAUAGAUGGAUCCGCGCCGCAUUAGCUAGUUGGUAAGGUAACGGCUUACCAAGGCAACGAUGCGUAGCCGACCUGAGAGGGUGUGCGGCCCAACGGGAACGGGGACCCGGUCCAGACUCCUACGGGGGGCAGCAGUAGGGAAUCUUCCGCAAUGGGCGAAAGCCUGACGGAGCAACGCCGCGUGAGUGAUGAAGGUCUUCGGAUCGUAAAACUCUGUUAUUAGGGAAGAACAAAUGUGUAAGUAACUAUGCACGUCUUGACGGUACCUAAUCAGAAAGCCACGGCUAACUAC
This 494-nucleotide ribosomal RNA is filed under the name uncultured bacterium. RNAcentral describes it as "partial 16S ribosomal RNA". It matches the Rfam family "Bacterial small subunit ribosomal RNA", at positions 28 to 504 of the family's 1533-position model. The record is from RNAcentral.